AUACCAUAUCUCUUAGAUAAAGAUGUCCACAUGCUGAAAAUCCACCUUAAAAUACGCAGCUCGCAAUCAGAAAACUCAAACAAACCUUCAAACAUCGUGUAUGAUAUCACCUAGAAUCAAUUAUGCCCCUUUGUUACUUGCAGUCGCGAAUAAACAUCUUUCGAGCAAAAAAAGUGAAGCAUAUCAAAAAAAUACACUGAGUCUGAACAAGGUCAGAUAGUGCGUAAUAAAAUAAUAAAAAAUAUACAAUAUUUUAAUUGAGAAUGAUCGUACUCCAUAGUGGGAAAACAUUGCUGGUGAGAAAAAAUAGUAAUAAAACUUAGAAAGGUAUCUUUGAUUUAUUUACCAUCGUCAUCACCUUUACUACCGGCAUUGCCGGCACCAAUGUGUAAAAAACUAAUUUUCGUUACUUACCUGAGAGCGAAAUUUCAAUGCCAAUGGCAUCAUGUUGAAGAUCUCAUCUCAUCGUGUUCAAUGUUUGUUGAUGAUUUUUUUUUCUUGUGUUUAUAUAUUUUUUUUUUGUUGUUAUUAUUAUAAAAAGCAUGAAAUAAGUUGAAGAUAAUCUAUCUGCAGAUAAACAAUUCUUUUAACCGUAUAAAGAAAGAUUUAUUUAAAAAAAAUAAAGAUUUAUUUAAAAAAAGAUAUUAAGCAAAAUAUCUUUGUGCUGAUGAAUCUGUUUGAGUUGAAUAAAGUACAAAAAGGUGCUAAAUACGCGGAUAUUUACAGAAAAAAUUGAUGCGUGAA
Molecule: long non-coding RNA, 744 nt
Organism: Hermetia illucens (black soldier fly)
Lineage: Eukaryota; Metazoa; Arthropoda; Insecta; Diptera; Stratiomyidae
Exons: 3
Source: RefSeq, a predicted model, not a curated record